GUCUACGGUCAUACACCCUGAAUGCACCCGAUCUUGUCUGAUUUAGGAAGCUAAGUAGGGUUGGGCCUGCUUAGUACUUGGAUAGGGAGAAUACAAUGGUUUAUUUAUUUA
Non-coding RNA from Heterocephalus glaber (naked mole-rat), 111 nucleotides. The record is from Rfam. NCBI's taxonomy places the organism in Eukaryota, Metazoa, Chordata, Mammalia, Rodentia, Bathyergidae.